Molecule: ribosomal RNA, 407 nt
Filed under: uncultured marine eukaryote
Lineage: Eukaryota
Description: bacterial SSU rRNA
Source: RNAcentral
UGCUGUUAAAAAGCUGGUAGUUGGAUCAGAGUCGGACAGUGCAAGGUGGCCCUGUGUGUCUGUCUUGGUUCCGACCAUGGCAGCCGCAGCGGAUCAACCCCUUGCGCCAAACUGUCCGCUCUAACAGGCCGAAACGGUUCCCUGUGAGUAACUCCUUCACGGGAGUGAAAACGCUUACGCAUCAACCAUAUGCAUACGGGACGUCGGCCGAUGUUACUGUGAACAAACCAGCGUGUCCAAAGCAGGCUUUCGCCUGAAUGUUCGAGCAUGGAAUAACAAGGGAUCGAUUCUCUCGGUUCUUUUUGUUGGUUUUUAACCCGAGAAGGAGUAAUUCAGGCCACGGUGUCUGAGUUGGGUUCCCCGUCUCUUCGGAGGCGGCCCCAAUUAGGCCGUGUCCUUACGGGAUC